CUCCUGAAGUAUAGAGGGUGAAUUCUGCCCAAUGGUUGUAUAGUGAAACUGAGGACUAACGUCUAAAGCGAAACCCAACUGAAUGGCCGCGGUAACUCUGACCGUGAUAAUGUAGCACAAUAAAUAGCCAAUUAAUUGUUGGCGGGUAUGAAUGGAACCACGAGGGUCUUACUGUCUCAAGAGGAAAGCCGAUGAAAUUAUAAUUGUAGUGAAGAUACUACAUAAACAUUGUAAGACGAAAAGACCCUAUCGAGCUUUACUGGAUACCGAUAGCGUUAAUUUAGAAUGAUCGAUACUAAGUAUCCUAAUUCUAAGUUAAUAAUUUUUGUUGGUAGGACAGUUUAGUUGGGGCGACUACCUUUGAAUAAGAAACGAAGGCGAGCUUAUGGUAUUAUUAAAAUCUCAUUAGCCUCACAGUGAGGGGGACACCCCUAGCUGGCACACGUAAGGGAUGUGGGCGAUAGUGACCCGAUAUGAUUAUCCAAAAUAAAUAUCGAAAGCGGAUAAAAGCUACCGUAGGGAUAACAGCGUAAUAUUGUCGGAGAGUUCUUAUCGAGGACAGUGUUUGCGACCUCGAUGUUGAAUUGCGGUGCCCUGGUGCUGUAGAAGGUACCUUAGGUUGGUC
RNAcentral lists this ribosomal RNA (625 nucleotides) under Lepidisis olapa. RNAcentral's name for it is "partial 16S ribosomal RNA". It matches the Rfam family "Bacterial large subunit ribosomal RNA", at positions 1835 to 2577 of the family's 2925-position model. The record is from RNAcentral. Lineage: Eukaryota; Metazoa; Cnidaria; Anthozoa; Scleralcyonacea; Keratoisididae.